Molecule: ribosomal RNA, 266 nt
Filed under: uncultured prokaryote
Description: partial 16S ribosomal RNA
Rfam family: Bacterial small subunit ribosomal RNA
Source: RNAcentral
UACGGAGGAUCCUAGUGUUAUCCGGAUUUAUUGGGUUUAAAGGGAGCGUAGGCGGGAGGUCAAGUCAGCUGUGAAAUGUUAUCUGCUUAACGGGUACACUGCAGUUGAAACUGGUUUUCUUGAGUGCGUAAGAGGCAGGCGGAGUUCGUUGUGUAGCGGUGAAAUGCUUAGAUAUGACGAGGAACUCCUAUUGCGAAGGCAGCUUGCUGGGUCGUUACUGACGCUGAUGCUCGAAGGUGCGGGGAUCAAACAGGAUUAGAUACCCU